CGCUGGCGGCAGGCCUAACACAUGCAAGUCGAGCGGUAGAGAGAAGCUUGCUUCUCUUGAGAGCGGCGGACGGGUGAGUAAUGCCUAGGAAUCUGCCUGGUAGUGGGGGAUAACGUUCGGAAACGGACGCUAAUACCGCAUACGUCCUACGGGAGAAAGCAGGGGACCUUCGGGCCUUGCGCUAUCAGAUGAGCCUAGGUCGGAUUAGCUAGUUGGUGAGGUAAUGGCUCACCAAGGCGACGAUCCGUAACUGGUCUGAGAGGAUGAUCAGUCACACUGGAACUGAGACACGGUCCAGACUCCUACGGGAGGCAGCAGUGGGGAAUAUUGGACAAUGGGCGAAAGCCUGAUCCAGCCAUGCCGCGUGUGUGAAGAAGGUCUUCGGAUUGUAAAGCGCUUUAAGUUGGGAGGAAGGGUUGUAGAUUAAUACUCUGCAAUUUUGACGUUACCGACAGAAUAAGCACCGGCUAACUCUGUGCCAGCAGCCGCGGUAAUACAGAGGGUGCAAGCGUUAAUCGGAAUUACUGGGCGUAAAGCGCGCGUAGGUGGUUUGUUAAGUUGGAUGUGAAAUCCCCGGGCUCAACCUGGGAACUGCAUUCAAAACUGACUGACUAGAGUAUGGUAGAGGGUGGUGGAAUUUCCUGUGUAGCGGUGAAAUGCGUAGAUAUAGGAAGGAACACCAGUGGCGAAGGCGACCACCUGGACUAAUACUGACACUGAGGUGCGAAAGCGUGGGGAGCAA
This 742-nucleotide ribosomal RNA is filed under the name uncultured bacterium. RNAcentral's name for it is "bacterial SSU rRNA". It matches the Rfam family "Bacterial small subunit ribosomal RNA", at positions 34 to 771 of the family's 1533-position model. The record is from RNAcentral.